AUGCAUGUCUAAGUAUAAGCAAUUAUACAGCGAAACUGCGAAUGGCCCAUUAAAUCAGUUAUCGUUUAUUUGAUAGUACCUUACUACUUGGAUAACCGUGGUAAUUCUAGAGCUAAUACAUGCUAAAAACCCCGACUCACGAAGGGGUGUAUUUAUUAGAUUAAAAACCAAUGCCCUUCGGGGCUCUCUGGUGAUUCAUAAUAACUUCUCGAAUCGCAUGGUCUUGUGCCGGCGAUGGUUCAUUCAAAUUUCUGCCCUAUCAACUUUCGAUGGCAGGGUCUUGGCCUGCCAUGGUUACAACGGGUAACGGAGGGUUAGGGCUCGACCCCGGAGAAGGAGCCUGAGAAACGGCUACUACAUCCAAGGAAGGCAGCAGGCGCGCAAAUUACCCAAUCCCGAUUCGGGGAGGUAGUGACAAUAA
RNAcentral lists this ribosomal RNA (421 nucleotides) under Microdochium bolleyi. RNAcentral describes it as "SSU rRNA". It matches the Rfam family "Eukaryotic small subunit ribosomal RNA", at positions 51 to 476 of the family's 1831-position model. Lineage: Eukaryota; Fungi; Ascomycota; Sordariomycetes; Xylariales; Microdochiaceae. The record is from RNAcentral.